GCGCAGCAGUCGCGAAUACUUCACACUGUGCGAAGCACGAUGAGGGAAUCCCAAGUGCUUGCACGUAAGUGUAAGCUGUUUCUCUGUCUAAACGCAGAGAGAGUAAGGGCUGGGUAAGACGGGUGCCAGGCCGCCGCGGUAAUACCUGCAGCUCAAGUGGUGACCGUUAUUAUUGGGCCUAAAACGUCCGUAGCCGGUUUAA
RNAcentral lists this ribosomal RNA (202 nucleotides) under uncultured microorganism. RNAcentral describes it as "partial 16S ribosomal RNA". It matches the Rfam family "Archaeal small subunit ribosomal RNA", at positions 330 to 533 of the family's 1478-position model. The record is from RNAcentral.